RNAcentral lists this long non-coding RNA (2719 nucleotides) under Homo sapiens (human). Its description in RNAcentral is "uncharacterized LOC100287808 (LOC100287808)". The record is from RNAcentral. Lineage: Eukaryota; Metazoa; Chordata; Mammalia; Primates; Hominidae.
GCGGGGGGAUCGGGUAGCUCUGGCGGAGGCUGCGCCCCCGGCGUGCUCGGGCAGAGAAGAACGGAGGCCCGCUGAGGAUGGGAACUCAGGCUCCGGGUCUGGGACACAAUAAUCCGGCCGAAGGCGAGCGGCCACACUGGACUAGGAAACGAGGCGCCGGGCUGUAAGGUGGGCCCGCGCCUUUUCUCCUGCCUGGCGCUGAUUCCCGCAUUUUUCGCUCGCGCCCUGCGCUGCGCGCUGCCUGUGCGCCUCCCUGGGCGCGCGGGCGGGAGAGUCGGGCGAGCGCCAAGACGGCUGGGCCCGACUCCCACUGGCGCCCCGGCUCCACCUGGCGCUGGGGCUCCGGUCCGCAGUGGCUCCGGCAGGAGGGAGAGAACGAGGAGGGAGGCUUGGAAACGCCGGGAGUAGCGGUGAGGCCGACGCCGGGGAAGCGAAUCGAUACUGCGUUACUGGACGCCCGUGGGCCUCAUGAGGAUGGUCGAUUCCCUCAUUCGUUAUUCACGAUUUAUUAGGGAUGGCGGCCGCGUCUGUCCCUCCAGAGAGCUCGAUUAUCCAUCCGGCCAGCAGCGCCAUUAAGCGCACUGACGGUGGGAGGCUCGAGUUAGAAAUUAGGAUAGGAAUCUUCGCCCAGUUUUGGAGCGCCUGCCUCCUCUUCCCUCGUUGCUCGCAGCCAAGGCAGCCGCGAAGCUGGGGGCCUCGGGUGAAUGCUUUCGCCCUCUGGCCGGCGACCAGGAGACCUGCGCACACUGGCCGCCGAGUGACCCCAGCUCGAGCCUGCAGCCACACCAGCGGGACGGGGGCGGGGAGGAAGAGGAAGGGCGGAGAGACUUCCUUCCAGAGGGAGUGGUCCGAGAACCGGCGGGAGAAGGGCCAAGGGAAGAUCCGGUCACCUGCUCCGGAGCCUGCAGGCGGAGAGGCGAGUAGUUCACCGGCCCCGGAGGAAAGGGGACCCUCCCACUGUUCCCAGGCAAAUGUGUCGCCGGCAUCCUGCACUCUGCCGGGGAAGACGCGCAUCCACUCGCUCUGCAGGGAGGGGAACGCGGGAAGGACUCCCAGUCAGCCGCCCCUCUCUGGCUACAAGACCCCGAACAAGAGAAACCUGUAACAGGGGCUCUGCGGAGAUCUGGAUCCCACCCACCAACCACAUGGGCACCUGGGGGGCUGCCCCUCGGGGCAUUAUCAGCCAGUGGGAAGGGGGUUGACGUUCCUCUGCGGCCCAUGAAUCCUGGAGGGCUGCCCGAGGGGCCACCGGGGUCCAUCCACUUAUUCUUCGGUUGUUAAGCGCCAGACAGGAGAGAACCGCUAGAGAGGAGUGUGCUAAGACCCUAUUACCCACUAAAACUCCAUUUUCAUCUUUUGCGUCCUGGAUGACUAGUCUCCACAUUCCUGGCCUUUCUGGUUUCUCAGGAGAACCUUCUGACCCAACUCUUCCCACAUCGAAAGAGUUUCCUAGUCUUUUGUUCUACUACUAGCCGACAUAGAAAGCACCUGUCAUGUGCCAGUGUCAAAUACUGCGCUAGGAACUGGGAACUCAAGGCACAGGAGCCUGGCUUUUGCGCAGGGCGCUCACAGGCCGGUGGGUGCAAACCCUGAAGGACACACAGCCUGUCCCUUUAGCGCCCAUCGCUUCUGGUGUGAGCUCCCGCUAAGGGUGGGUGAGUACUGGGGUGGGCUUCCAGAAGAGGCCUCCUUUGAGCCGAAUCUGCAGAGACCAAGUGUCUAUGAGAACUGCUCAAGAGUGCUUUGCACAUUCUCCUCCACAAAGGUCGAGGCUCCCACUGCGCCCAGGAAUGCGCCUCGUCAGACAUUAGGCGCCCCUUGAUUUUGUGUUUGCAUCUCACGCGGUCCUCUAGCUGACAAGUGCAUCAGAAGAGUCACAGUGGCUGUCACAAGCCAGAGACUCGCAGAGGACAGGAACGCGGGAAAUCUAGGCAAUUACCUCCAGCAUAUACCAAGAGCUAUUGCGAGGAUCAGAUCCCUUUAAAAAUGGUGACGAGACAGGAGAGGGCGGCUCCUCUAGAGCUUUCCGGAACGUCUUUACCUCUGUGUCCUUUAUACCUUUUAUCUCCCCCAAACAAGGUCCUUAGUCAGUUUCUCCUUCUAUUUCCCCAUCUUCCUCCCCCACCUCCCUGUGUAGUUCUAGGGGGAAAAAAUGUGUUGUUUUCCUUUUUUUCUGAUGCUUCUAAUAUUAAAUGCGUCUAUUUUCCCACUCUCCAUUGUCUUGAGGUCUUCCCCUACCCACCCUGCCUAGUUCUGUCACGUCCCUUCUUUCCCUGUAUCACAACAAUGUUCUCCCUUUCUCACCUUUGUUUCUCUUCAUACUUGUUUCUCUCUCUGUGUCUCUCUCAUUCUCUUCCCUUCCAAAUGUAGUAUUUGGAGACUGUAAUAUCGAUUGAGGCAGACAAUAGAAAACUGUCGAACCUCCACUGUAAAUUCAUUCUUAAUCCUAUGAAAAAAUGCAUCCUGAAACGUGUUGCAUGCACAGUGAGACAAAAACCUGUGUCUUUAGGUUUCCUGCGAUCUAGCUUGGAGGCGGGUUGGGGGGGUGUGGAGGGAAGUGCUGGAGAAAUUAUCCCAUUAUUGACUGAGCAGCAAAGAAUUUUCAAGAACAGUGAUUCUCCUAGAAAAAGUAUUGCUGCUGCCAUUUCAAUGCAAAAUUUGGCUUUUGAGUAAAAGGCUUAGGUUUUUAUCUUCCGGGGAGAAAAAAAAAACCCAAAAG